This 302-nucleotide long non-coding RNA is filed under the name Trifolium pratense (red clover). Its description in RNAcentral is "long non-coding RNA (TPRA_LNC008040)". Lineage: Eukaryota; Viridiplantae; Streptophyta; Magnoliopsida; Fabales; Fabaceae. The record is from RNAcentral.
UUUUGUUCCAAGAAGAAUAAAGUUGCACAAAAAAGUGUUUGCAUUGCACAACACAACACACCACACCACACAGAGAAAGAAUAGAAAUCAAUCAUUAGGUUCCUCUUCCUUCCUCCUCGUCCGGCGUGUCUCUGAAUUUGGUUGUGACCAGUGGCGAGUAUACCGCCGGGCAUGCCUCGCAUGCCUGGCACGUGCCUGGGCUGCCCUUCUUAUAUAUAUAUAUAUAUUUUUUUUUAAAUGAAAACAAAAACAGAAAAAGGAAGAGUUAGAAUUUGCUUUCGCUUUCUCGAUCCCUCUCUCUC